Molecule: ribosomal RNA, 431 nt
Filed under: uncultured bacterium
Lineage: Bacteria
Description: bacterial SSU rRNA
Rfam family: Bacterial small subunit ribosomal RNA
Source: RNAcentral
GUGGGGAAUAUUGCGCUAAUGCGCGAAAGCGUGACGCAGCGACGCCGCGUGGGGGAUGAAGGCCCUCGGGUCGUAAACCCCUUUCGGCAGGGACGAAGCGAAAGUGACGGUACCUGCAGAAGAAGUCCCGGCUAACUACGUGCCAGCAGCCGCGGUAACACGUAGGGGACGAGCGUUGUCCGGAUUCAUUGGGCGUAAAGCGCGCGUAGGCGGUCGUGCAAGUCGGUCGUGAAAUCCCGGGGCUCAACCCCGGGACUGCGUCCGAUACUGCACGACUGGAGGCAGGUAGGGGAGAUCGGAAUUCCUGGUGUAGCGGUGAAAUGCGCAGAUAUCAGGAGGAACACCGGUGGCGAAGGCGGAUCUCUGGGCCUUGCCUGACGCUGAGGCGCGAAAGCUAGGGGAGCGAACAGGAUUAGAUACCCUAGUAGUCC